RNAcentral lists this long non-coding RNA (2637 nucleotides) under Pan troglodytes (chimpanzee). RNAcentral's name for it is "long non-coding RNA NONPTRT009515". The record is from RNAcentral. Lineage: Eukaryota; Metazoa; Chordata; Mammalia; Primates; Hominidae.
GGGCCUCUCUCUUCAUUCCCUGCUGGAAACAUCCAUGCUGUGCUUGGCGGAGCUGCGUUUUCCCGUGGCACAGAGCUCCAGGGAAGGGCUCUCCUGCCCUCUCGUGGCGGCCUCGGGGCAGUGGCCUGUGGGGGCCGCCAGCCCUUCCUUCGCUGUGUGAGCCGCUGGUCACAGAAGACUGCGGUGCAGGGAACGGGGCCACUUCCUGAUACUCAGGGACAGAUUUUCUUCUCUUGAGGAAAGGCUCAUAAGACCUCUUCCGGGUCAUUCCUGAUUAGGACUUCCAUCCAGGGGUCAACAAAAGACUCCCCAACCUGAAGGAGGCUGCCCAGGCGGGGAGAAGAAAGGUCAGAGCCCACGGAGAGGCAGAGGGGCGCCAGCCUGGAGUGCCCCCUGCUGCGGCGCCCGGCACGUGGCUCACCUGCUCUCCCGCCUCUGUCACCUGGGAAGAAACAGUGGGCAGGAGGAGCGCGCCCGGGGCCUGAAGCAAGGCCGGGCCUUCGCCAUGGACAAGUGACUUGGGCCUGCUGGAGACGGGGCAUGGACCGUGGCCUCUAGCGUUUGUCCAUCACGUGGCAUUUCUGGGAGCUCGGGACUCCACUCUGACGGAGGAGAGAGGCCAUUUCUUUUACUGUCUCCUGUCUCUGAAGAGAAGGAUGAAGUAAAAGUUGAAAAACAACAGGAAUGAAGUCAGCGGCAAGACCAGCCGGUGCCACCGAUGACCAGGCCUGAGGUUAAAAGAUUACCCCCCCCCCCACUCUAACCACAUGUGAUCUCAAUCUAUCACGACCCUUUCACGUGGACCCCUUAGAGGUGUAAGCCCUUAAAAGGGCCAGGAACUCUGUUUUCGGGGAGCUCGGUUCUUGAGACGCGAGUCUGCCGAAGCUCCCGGCCAAAUAAAGCCAAAUCCUUCCUUAACCUGGUGUCUGAGGGGUUUUGUCCGCAGCUCGUCCUGCUACGUGACCUGCCUGUCUAUCCUCUUACCCACGGCAACCUGCCUUGAUUCCUGCAGCUUUAAAAUAACCCUAUCAGGGUUACAGUAUUUUAAUUUCUGCUUCACAUAGUGUAAAUCAAAAAUAAAACUCUAAGCUUCCCCAACCCACUGAAUGGACCCCCUCAUCUCCACCAGGGGGAUUCUGAAGAACCUGAAAAAUGAGCUCAGGCCACGAAGGGACGGGGAUUGGACAUGGCUCAUUAUACCCACCUCCCUUUGGAGUUCAGGUGCAGCUGACCAGACGGACAGAGCAGACACCAUAGCAGCAAGACACCAAGUUCCAAUCUGACACUGGUAUAGCAUCACGUGAAAACAGGCCCUCAAAGUAUCAGUGUAUUUUACCCCAAAAUAUAUCUCUUUGACAAAUUUUGAAAUGGCCCCGCAAAGCUGUGUCUUGUGGGGAAAUUCAUAUUCUGUAGACUCCCCUUCCCUUUCCAGCUCUUUUUCUGAUCCUGAGGAGACUGGCUGAGAGUCUAGUGCCUUGUGAAGGUCUGAAUAGGAAACAUUUGCCAUGUAUUGCCUCUGAGGGCGGACACCUAUGAGAUUUCAUCCACAUAAUAAGGACCUCGGUCUCCACAGCCCCUUCUCUUAACCCAGACACUCCUUUCUAUUGAUUCCAAGCCUUCAGAUAGUAACUUAAUUCUUUCAACCAACUGCCAAUCAGAAACAUCUUUGAAUCCACCUAUUACCUGGAGACCUUUCCGCUUGGAGUCGUCCUGACUUUCUGGAUCAAUCCAAUGCACACCUCACAUGUACUGACUGAUGUCUUAUGUCUCCCUGAAAUGAAUAAAACCAAGCAGUAAAACAACCGCCUUGGGCCAAGUUCUCAGGACGUCCUGAGGCUGUGUCAUGGGUCAUAUUUGGCUGAGAAUAAAUCUCUUCAAGUAUUUUACAAAGUUUGGCUUUUUUUGUAAACAAUAGACAGAUAUAAAUUCCAUUUGCUAAUUUUUUUAAAUGCUGUGUCUUGGUUCAUGAAAGACAUUGGUCUGUGGUUCUACUGUCUGGUGAUGUCUGACUUUGCUAUCAAGGCAAUGCUGGCCCAUACAUCGAGCAGGGAAGUGCCCCUCCUCGUUCAUCGUCUGAGUGGCUGGAUUCCUAUUAUUUCUUCUCUAAGUAGGAUUCACCAGCUUGGCCCUCUGGGCCUGGAAUUUUCUUUGUGAGAAAAUUUGAUAACAAAUUGAUCUCAAAUUUAACAGAUAAUAAGCAUUAGUAUUUUCUUUUUUGGUAACUGGCAUCCUUCAAGAAAUUCGUCCAAUUAUACCGUUUUGGGGGCUGCCUGCACUAGAGUCAGCGUGGCGUCCCCUCAGAAGGCCGGGUUUGCCAGCGCCGCGCCCCAAGCCAGGUCGGUCGGCCAGUGCUGGUGCCCUCGGGGAACAGCGGGAGCUGCCUGGAGGCUGCGGGGAGCGGCGGCGGCGGGCACGCACCUGGCUCCCGAAACCAGACCUUUAAUAACGCCUCGCAGAAGGGGCGGGGUGGGAGGUUGGCAGCGCAGGGGCGGCAGCCCCGGAUCCCCACGGGUCUCCAGAUCACCCCAUCGAGCCCCGCGCCCUAGCAGCACAGUCCCUCCAGGGCUCCUUGGAGGGCCAGGCCUCAGCCCGGGUGCCCCCUCGCCGGGGCUCCAGGGUUGGGGGCACCCAGGAGGC